This 1288-nucleotide ribosomal RNA is filed under the name Muscina pascuorum. RNAcentral describes it as "16S ribosomal RNA". The stretch from base 1040 to 1199 matches the Rfam family "Archaeal large subunit ribosomal RNA", at positions 2544 to 2703 of the family's 2987-position model. Lineage: Eukaryota; Metazoa; Arthropoda; Insecta; Diptera; Muscidae. The record is from RNAcentral.
UUAAAAUAUUAAAAAAAAUUAUAUAUUGUUAUGUUUAAGUAUUUUUUAAGGAAUAAAUAAUUUUUAUUAUAGUGGAAUAGUAUUGUAAAAGAAAAUUGAAAUAAAUUGAAAAAUUAUUAUUUUAGAAGAAAAUUUUAUUAAUUGUACCUUGUGUAUCAGGGUUUAUUAAAUAAAAAUUAUUAAUAAUAAUUUUCUCGAUUUUAAAAGAGUUAAUAUAUUAUAAAAGUUAAUGUAGUAAAAUUAUUUUUAAUAAUAUAUUAGAAAUGAAAUGUUAUUCGGUUUUAAAGGUAUCUAGUUUUUUAAGAAAUAAAUUUAAUUUAGAAAUUUUAUAUUAUUUAAUUUAAUGAAUUAAUUAAAUAAUUAUUUAAUUUUAAUAUUUUAUGGGAUAAGCUAUAAAAUAAAUUAUUAAAAAUUAAUAAAUGUAUUAAUAAAUAUAGGUUUAGAAAUAGCUAUUAUUAGUAAAUUUGUUAUAAUUUAUUUUAUAAUAAAUAUUAUUUAUUAAAUUUUAAUUUUUUAUUAAAAUAUUUAUUUUAAUAUAAAAAAUAAAAAAAUUAUGAUAAAAUUAGUAUAUUAUAAUGUAUAAAUAUUUUAAUUUGAAAAGUUUUUAUAAAGAACUCGGCAAAUUUAAUGUUCGCCUGUUUAACAAAAACAUGUCUUUUUGAAUUUUUUUUAAAGUCUAACCUGCCCACUGAAUUUAAUUUAAAUGGCCGCAGUAUAUUGACUGUGCAAAGGUAGCAUAAUCAUUAGUCUUUUAAUUGAAGGCUGGUAUGAAUGGUUGGACGAAAUAUUAACUGUUUCAUAAGAAUUUAUUUUAGAAUUUUAUUUUUUAGUCAAAAAGCUAAAAUGAAUUUAAAAGACGAGAAGACCCUAUAAAUCUUUAUAUUUAUUAUAUUAAUAUUUUUUAGAAUUAUUUUAUUUUGAUAUAUAGUAAUAUUUUAUUGGGGUGAUAUUAAAAUUUAAUAAACUUUUAAUUUUUAAAAUCAUUAAUUAAUGAUAAAUUGAUCCGUUAUUAACGAUUAAAAAAUUAAGUUACUUUAGGGAUAACAGCGUAAUUUUUUUGGAGAGUUCAUAUCGAUAAAAAAGAUUGCGACCUCGAUGUUGGAUUAAGAUAUAAUUUUAGGUGUAGAAGCUUAAAUUUUAAGUCUGUUCGACUUUUAAAUUCUUACAUGAUCUGAGUUCAAACCGGUGUAAGCCAGGUUGGUUUCUAUCUUUAAAUAUUUAAAAUAUUUCAGUACGAAAGGACCUAAUAUUUAAUAAAUUAUUAUUUUUAUUUAGAAUAUAAUUAAUA